ACCUACCAGUGCGUGACACUUCGUAGAGUGAUCAUCACCAUGCUGGUCGCCACCGCCGUCUGCUGUUACCUCUUCUGGCUCAUCGCCAUCCUGGCGCAGCUGAACCCCCUGUUCGGGCCCCAGCUGAAGAAUGAGACCAUCUGGUACGUGCGCUUCCUGUGGGAGUGACCUGCCGCCCCCGACCCAGGUGCCCAGCUCUCGGAAUGACUGUGGCCCCACUGUCCCUGACAACCCCUUCGUCCGGACCCUCCCCCACACAACUAUGUCUGGUCACCAGCUCCCUCCUGCUGGCACCCAGAGACCCGGACCCGCAGGGCCUGCCUGGUUCCUGGAAGUCUUCCCAGUCUUCCCAGCCAGCCCGGGCCCUGGGGAGCCCUGGGCACAGCAGCGGCCGAGGGGAUGUCCUGCUCCAAUACCCGCACUGCUCUGGCGUUUGCCCUCUUUCCCAAGGAGAUGCUGCUGGGGAGCUGGUAUG
This 475-nucleotide small RNA is filed under the name Pan troglodytes (chimpanzee). RNAcentral's name for it is "processed transcript". Lineage: Eukaryota; Metazoa; Chordata; Mammalia; Primates; Hominidae. The record is from RNAcentral.